GUGACCUCAAAUCAGGUAGGACUACCCGCUGAACUUAAGCAUAUCAAUAAGCGGAGGAAAAGAAACUAACAAGGAUUCCCCUAGUAACUGCGAGUGAAGCGGGAAAAGCUCAAAUUUAAAAUCUGGCAGUCUUUUGGCUGUCCGAGUUGUAAUCUAGAGAAGUGUUAUCCGCGCUGGACCGUGUACAAGUCUCCUGGAAUGGAGCAUCAUAGAGGGUGAGAAUCCCGUCUUUGACAUGGACUACCAGGGCUUUGUGAUGCGCUCUCAAAGAGUCGAGUUGUUUGGGAAUGCAGCUCAAAAUGGGUGGUAAAUUCCAUCUAAAGCUAAAUAUUGGCGAGAGACCGAUAGCGAACAAGUACCGUGAGGGAAAGAUGAAAAGAACUUUGGAAAGAGAGUUAAACAGUACGUGAAAUUGCUGAAAGGGAAACGCUUGAAGUCAGUCGCGUCGUCCAGGGAUCAACCUUGCUUUUGCUUGGUGCACUUUCUGGUUUGACGGGUCAGCAUCAAUUUUGACUAUUGGAAAAAGUCUAAGGGAAUGUGGCAUCCUUGGAUGUGUUAUAGCCCUUGGUCACAUACAAUGGUUGGGAUUGAGGAACUCAGCA
RNAcentral lists this ribosomal RNA (602 nucleotides) under Cortinarius boulderensis. RNAcentral's name for it is "eukaryotic LSU rRNA". It matches the Rfam family "Eukaryotic large subunit ribosomal RNA", at positions 1 to 600 of the family's 3401-position model. The record is from RNAcentral. Lineage: Eukaryota; Fungi; Basidiomycota; Agaricomycetes; Agaricales; Cortinariaceae.